RNAcentral lists this ribosomal RNA (270 nucleotides) under uncultured archaeon. RNAcentral describes it as "partial 16S ribosomal RNA". It matches the Rfam family "Archaeal small subunit ribosomal RNA", at positions 477 to 747 of the family's 1478-position model. The record is from RNAcentral.
CAGCACCUCAAGUGGUCAGGAUGAUUAUUUGGCCUAAAGCGUCCGUAGCCGGCCGGGUAAGUUUCCCGUUAAAUCCAACGUCUCAAGCGUUGGACUGCGGGAAAUACUGCCAGGCUAGAGAGUGGGAGAGGUCAGCGGUAUUCUGGGGGUAGGGGCGAAAUCCUUUGAUCCCCGGAGGACCACCAGUGGCGAAGGCUGCUGACUAGAACACGUCUGACGGUCAGGGACGAAAGCUGGGGUAGUGAACCGGAUUAGAGACCCGAGUAGUCC